GAGUAACAGACUAGCUAGAGACAAUGAAUUAAGGGAAAAUGACAAAGAACAGCUCAAAGCAAUUUCUACACGAGAUCCUCUCUCUGAAAUCACUGCGCAGGAGAAAGAUUUUCUAUGGACCACACUAUAUUCUGUCUGUUAAAUGGAAUUCUAGAGAUGAAGUAGCCCAGCACAGAUGUAUUGCUUGGUAAAAGAUUGGCCUCCAAUCAAACCUGAACAGGCUAUGGAACUUCUGGACUGUAAUUACCCAGAUCCUAUGGUUCGAAGUUUUGCUGUUCAGUGCUUGGAAAAAUAUUUAACAGAUAACAAACUUUCUCAGUAUUUAAUUCAGCUAGUACAAGGUCCUAAAAUAUGAACAAUAUUUGGAUAACUUGCUUGUGAGAUUUUUACUGAAGAAAGCAUUGACUAAUCAAAGGAUUGGGCACUUUUUCUUUUGGCAUUUAAAUCUGAGAUGCACAAUAAAACACUUAGCCAGAGGUUUGGCCUGCUUUUGGAGUCCUAUUGUCGUGCAUGUGGGAUGUAUUUGAAGCACCUGAAUAGGCAAGUCGAGGCAAUGGAAAAGCUCAUUAACUUAACUGACAUUGUCAAACAGGAGAAGAAGGAUGAAACACAAAAGU
Molecule: long non-coding RNA, 617 nt
Filed under: Homo sapiens (human)
Lineage: Eukaryota; Metazoa; Chordata; Mammalia; Primates; Hominidae
Description: non-protein coding lnc-IL17RA-18:1
Source: RNAcentral